GAUGAACGCUAGCUACAGGCUUAACACAUGCAAGUCGAGGGGCAGCAUGGUCUUAGCUUGCUAAGGCCGAUGGCGACCGGCGCACGGGUGAGUAACACGUAUCCAACCUGCCGUCUACUCUUGGACAGCCUUCUGAAAGGAAGAUUAAUACAAGAUGGCAUCAUGAGUCCGCAUGUUCACAUGAUUAAAGGUAUUCCGGUAGACGAUGGGGAUGCGUUCCAUUAGAUAGUAGGCGGGGUAACGGCCCACCUAGUCGUCGAUGGAUAGGGGUUGUGAGAGGAAGGUCCCCCACAUUGGAACUGGGCCACGGUCCACACUCCUACGGGAGGCAGCAGUGCGGAAUAUUGGUCAGUGGGCGAUAGCCUGAACCAGCCAAGUAGCGUGAAGGAUGACUGCCCUAUGGGUUGUAACCUUCUUUUAUAAAGGAAUAAAGUCGGGUAUGGAUGCCCGUUUGCCUGUACUUUAUGAAUAAGGAUCGGCUAACUCCGUG
RNAcentral lists this ribosomal RNA (490 nucleotides) under uncultured bacterium. RNAcentral's name for it is "partial 16S ribosomal RNA". It matches the Rfam family "Bacterial small subunit ribosomal RNA", at positions 28 to 507 of the family's 1533-position model. The record is from RNAcentral.